AGAGUUUGAUCCUGGCUCAGGAUGAACGCUAGCGGCAGGCCUAACACAUGCAAGUCGAACGGUAACAGAUCUAGCUUGCUAGAUGCUGACGAGUGGCGCACGGGUGCGUAACGCGUAUACAAUCUACCUCUAACUGAGGGAUAGCCCAGAGAAAUUUGGAUUAAUACCUCAUAGUAUUAUAUUAAGGCAUCUUUUUAUAAUUAAAACUCCGGUGGUUAGAGAUGAGUAUGCGUCCUAUUAGCUAGUUGGUAAGGUAACUGCUUACCAAGGCUACGAUAGGUAGGGGGCCUGAAAGGGUGAUCCCCCACACUGGUACUGAGACACGGACCAGACUCCUACGGGAGGCAGCAGUGGGGAAUAUUGGACAAUGGGGGCAACCCUGAUCCAGCAAUGCCGCGUGUGUGAUGAAGGCCUUAGGGUUGUAAAGCACUUUCACUGGUGAAGAUGAUGACGGUAACCAGAGAAGAAGCCCCGGCUAACUUCGUGCCAGCAGCCGCGGU
RNAcentral lists this ribosomal RNA (500 nucleotides) under uncultured bacterium. Its description in RNAcentral is "bacterial SSU rRNA". It matches the Rfam family "Bacterial small subunit ribosomal RNA", at positions 8 to 521 of the family's 1533-position model. The record is from RNAcentral.